Long non-coding RNA from Haemorhous mexicanus (house finch), 1638 nucleotides. RefSeq lists it as uncharacterized. NCBI's taxonomy places the organism in Eukaryota, Metazoa, Chordata, Aves, Passeriformes, Fringillidae. The transcript has 5 exons. The record is from RefSeq and is a predicted model, not a curated record.
UCCCACAGCUACACCAACAAACUGAAUAACCUCAUCAGUUGGAUCCCACCUCUGUCCUUGCAUCCUCACUGCUCACAAAGGGUCCUGUGGUUGUAAAGGCUAAAGCUCACUCUAUGAGAUGCCGAGUAGGAAAUGUUAUUUUCUGGUGCCUGUCAUUUAAUUUGUCUGCACAUACUUCUUCUGAACAAUUUCUUAGCAACCUGUACAGUUCUCUGCACUGGACUCUCCCUUUUCAGAGUGGUGAAAAAAUGCUGCACAGGAAUCACAGAUACUGCUGCUGAGUUGGGGAUCACUGAAGCUUGAUGAGCUCCACACCAAACCUUGUGGAUCAACAGCACAGGAUCAAGAUGUUCUCAUCUUGGGAUACCAGAAUUCAGGGAGGUCUGGUCACUGUCUUUAAGUGGACUAGGAUGAAUGAAUAUUCUCUAGUUCCAUACAUGGCUGUUUUCAAAGGAGAAUGAAGAGUCCUUUCAUAACCUUGAACUGAGGCAUCUUCAUCCUGGGGAGAGAAUUUCCUCAAACCUUCAAUGUUUGAAUAAUUUGCAGUAGGAAUUGAUGCCACACUUCUUCCUUUAGGACAGAAAGGGCAGAAGUGGGCUCCCUUCCUUUUUCAGUGGCUUCCUUAUCCUCACUGAGGGUUUCCGUUCCUCCGCAGAAGGGACACAGAGCUCAAGUAGUGAGGAGUAAACACAGUCACAGAACAGCUGAUGUUGGAAGGAAAUUCUGGACAUCAUCUUGUCCGAAUUACCUGCUCAAGGAGGGCUGCCCACAACAAGGACUGUGUUCACGUUAAUAUCUUCAUGGAUGGAGUCUCCUCAACCUCCUGGGGCAACCUGUGCCAGGGCUUAGUCAUUGUCACAGUCAAAAUUGUUUCCUGAUGUUCAAAAAAACCUCCCAUGUUUCAAUUUGUGCCCAUCACCACUGGUCCUGUUACUGGGCCCCACUGAAAAGAGCCUGGCUCCAGCCUCUUUGUAUUUUCCCUUUGGGUAUUUGUACACAUCUGUGAGAUCCCAUUGAGCCUGCCCUUCUCUAAGCUGAACAGUCCCAGCUCUCUCAGCCUGUCCUCACAGGAGAGAUGGCCCAGCACCUUAACCAUGGUCAUGACCAUUUGUUGGACUCUCUCCAGUAUGGUCUAUCUCUCUGUACUGGAUCAGCCCAGAUCUGAACCCAGCACCCCAGGUGCGUCCUCACCUGUGCUGAUCAGAGGGACAGGAUCACCUCCCUUGUCUUGUUGGAAUUUCCUUGCCUAAUGCAGCCCAAGGUAUCGUUCACCUUCUUUGCAGCAAGGACACACUGCUCACUCAUGUCUGACCUGAUGCCCACCAGGACCCACAGUGGGUGGGACCCAUCCACCCAAUGCCAAACUGCAUUCCAGUCAGGUAGUCCCCCACCUGUCCCGGCUUUGCCCUUCGCCUUGUUAAAGCCGCUCUCCCUGGGUGUCCCCGGGUGCACACAGCGCCUGUGCCCAGCUGGAGGGGCAGCGGCAGCUGUGGAGACACGCACCCACCCGGGCUAGGGAAGCAGCUUGCAGAGGACGGAGAGGAAGACGCAGGGAGGCUCAGGAGCAGCGUCCCGCCGGGAACGCCCGCUGCCACCUCACCUCUGGCUCGCCGUGCGGCGUCGCGCCGCUGGGACAGC